RNAcentral lists this ribosomal RNA (256 nucleotides) under uncultured bacterium. RNAcentral's name for it is "partial 16S ribosomal RNA". It matches the Rfam family "Bacterial small subunit ribosomal RNA", at positions 524 to 776 of the family's 1533-position model. The record is from RNAcentral.
UACGUAGGGGGCAAGCGUUGUCCGGAAUCAUUGGGCGUAAAGCGCGUGUAGGCGGCCCGGUAAGUCCGCUGUGAAAGUCGGGGGCUCAACCCUCGAAUGCCGGUGGAUACUGUCGGGCUAGAGUGCGGAAGAGGCGAGUGGAAUUCCUGGUGUAGCGGUGAAAUGCGCAGAUAUCAGGAGGAACACCGAUGGCGAAGGCAGGUCUCUGGGCGAUUAACUGACGCUGGAGGAAGCGAAAGCAUGGGGAGCGAACAGG